This 169-nucleotide non-coding RNA is filed under the name human gut metagenome. RNAcentral describes it as "Lysine riboswitch". It matches the Rfam family "Lysine riboswitch aptamer". Rfam says of the family: Riboswitches are metabolite binding domains within certain messenger RNAs that serve as precision sensors for their corresponding targets. Allosteric rearrangement of mRNA structure is mediated by ligand binding, and this results in modulation of gene expression. The record is from RNAcentral.
CCGAUAGAGGCGCGGCGAUCAUGACGCGCGCGGGGGAGCUUGUUCAGAGGGCUGUGAAUCCGCGCAAAAGGGAUCGUCGCCGAAAUGCAGGUUCGUUUCUGGAGCGGCCUGUGUUGGGGGCCAGCAGAAUAUGCUGUCCACUGUCACAUGGAAAUGUGGAGUGCUAUCG